Molecule: ribosomal RNA, 466 nt
Filed under: uncultured bacterium
Lineage: Bacteria
Description: partial 16S ribosomal RNA
Rfam family: Bacterial small subunit ribosomal RNA
Source: RNAcentral
GACGAACGCUGGCGGCGUGCUUAACACAUGCAAGUCGAACGGAAAGGCCCUGCUUGCAGGGUACUCGAGUGGCGAACGGGUGAGUAACACGUGGGUGAUCUGCCCUGCACUUCGGGAUAAGCUUGGGAAACUGGGUCUAAUACCGGAUAGGAGCCAUCUUUAGUGUGGUGGUUGGAAAGUUUUUUCGGUGUAGGAUGAGCUCGCGGCCUUUCAGCUUGUUGGUGGGGUAAUGGCCUACCAAGGCGGCGACGGGUAGCCGGCCUGAGAGGGUGUACGGCCACAUUGGGACUGAGAUACGGCCCAGACUCCUACGGGAGGCAGCAGUGGGGAAUAUUGCACAAUGGGCGCAAGCCUGAUGCAGCGACGCCGCGUGGGGGAUGAAGGCCUUCGGGUUGUAAACUCCUUUCGCUAGGGACGAAGCUUUGUUGUGACGGUACCUAGAUAAGAAGCACCGGCUAACUACGUG